RNAcentral lists this ribosomal RNA (302 nucleotides) under uncultured bacterium. RNAcentral describes it as "partial 16S ribosomal RNA". It matches the Rfam family "Bacterial small subunit ribosomal RNA", at positions 508 to 807 of the family's 1533-position model. The record is from RNAcentral.
GCAGUCGCCGCGGUAACACGUAGGUGGCAAGCGUUGUCCGGAAUGAUUGGGCGUAAAGGGCUCGCAGGCGGUUUCUUAAGUCUGAUGUGAAAGCCCCCGGCUCAGCCGGGGAGGGUCAUUGGAAACUGGGAAACUUGAGUGCAGAAGAGGAGAGUGGAAUUCCACGUGUAGCGGUGAAAUGCGUAGAGAUGUGGAGGAACACCAGUGGCGAAGGCGACUCUCUGGUCUGUAACUGACGCUGAGGAGCGAAAGCGUGGGGAGCGAACAGGAUUAGAUACCCCUGUAGUCCCUGUCUCUUAUAC